CCCAUAUACCUUGGGUUCCUUAUUUCUCUUACCCUAAUCUCUCUCUUUCCAUAGGUACAGGCAAACCCUCUGCUUUUAAGCAGCCAGUGGAGCUAAAAAACUUGUUAUAGGUAGAAAAAUAUUUUGUUUCUCUAAACUAUAAACCAAACAACUUGAAUUCUCUUUGGGGAAAUGUGCUCUUCUGUUAACUCUGGAUUUCUUUCUAGUUCUUGGGAAUGUGGCUUGGACCAGAGUCACCUACAUUCAGCCCCAAAAAGCUAUUUUGAAAUGUG
RNAcentral lists this long non-coding RNA (272 nucleotides) under Bos taurus (domestic cattle). RNAcentral describes it as "long non-coding RNA NONBTAT023515". The record is from RNAcentral. Lineage: Eukaryota; Metazoa; Chordata; Mammalia; Artiodactyla; Bovidae.